Molecule: ribosomal RNA, 497 nt
Filed under: uncultured bacterium
Lineage: Bacteria
Description: partial 16S ribosomal RNA
Rfam family: Bacterial small subunit ribosomal RNA
Source: RNAcentral
GAUGAACGCUGGCGGCGUGCCUAAUACAUGCAAGUCGAGCGAACGGACGAGAAGCUUGCUUCUCUGAUGUUAGCGGCGGACGGGUGAGUAACACGUGGAUAACCUACCUAUAAGACUGGGAUAACUUCGGGAAACCGGAGCUAAUACCGGAUGAUAUUUUGAACCGCAUGGUUCAAAAGUGAAAGACGGUCUUGCUGUCACUUAUAGAUGGAUCCGCGCUGCAUUAGCUAGUUGGUAAGGUAACGGCUUACCAAGGCAGCGAUGCAUAGCCGACCUGAGAGGGUGAGCGGCCACACUGGAACUGAGACACGGUCCAGACUCCUACGGGAGGCAGCAGUAGGGAAUCUUCCGCAAUGGGCGAAAGCCUGACGGAGCAACGCCGCGUGAGUGAUGAAGGUCUUCGGAUCGUAAAACUCUGUUAUUAGGGAAGAACAUAUGUGUAAGUAACUGUGCACAUCUUGACGGUACCUAAUCAGAAAGCCACGGCUAACUACGUG